RNAcentral lists this ribosomal RNA (438 nucleotides) under uncultured bacterium. RNAcentral describes it as "bacterial SSU rRNA". It matches the Rfam family "Bacterial small subunit ribosomal RNA", at positions 352 to 782 of the family's 1533-position model. The record is from RNAcentral.
CAGUGGGGAAUUUUGGACAAUGGGCGCAAGCCUGAUCCAGCCAUGCCGCGUGUGGGAAGAAGGCCUUCGGGUUGUAAACCACUUUUGUCAGGGAAGAAACGGCUCUUACUAAUAUUAGGAGCUAAUGACGGUACCUGAAGAAUAAGCACCGGCUAACUACGUGCCAGCAGCCGCGGUAAUACGUAGGGUGCAAGCGUUAAUCGGAAUUACUGGGCGUAAAGCGUGCGCAGGCGGCUUUGCAAGACAGAUGUGAAAUCCCCGGGCUCAACCUGGGAACUGCAUUUGUGACUGCAUGGCUAGAGUACGGUAGAGGGGGAUGGAAUUCCGCGUGUAGCAGUGAAAUGCGUAGAUAUGCGGAGGAACACCGAUGGCGAAGGCAAUCCCCUGGACCUGUACUGACGCUCAUGCACGAAAGCGUGGGGAGCAAACAGGAUUAGA